UUUUAUGAGAGUUUGAUCCUGGCUCAGGACGAACGCUGGCGGCGUGCCUAAUACAUGCAAGUCGAACGCUUCUUUUUCCAACGGAGCUUGCUCCACCGGAAAAAGAAGAGUGGCGAACGGGUGAGUAACACGUGGGUAACCUGCCCAUCAGAAGGGGAUAACACUUGGAAACAGGUGCUAAUACCGUAUAACAAUCAAAACCGCAUGGUUUUGAUUUGAAAGGCGCUUUCGGGUGUCGCUGAUGGAUGGACCCGCGGUGCAUUAGCUAGUUGGUGAGGUAACGGCUCACCAAGGCCACGAUGCAUAGC
This 308-nucleotide ribosomal RNA is filed under the name Enterococcus faecium. Its description in RNAcentral is "bacterial SSU rRNA". It matches the Rfam family "Bacterial small subunit ribosomal RNA", at positions 1 to 287 of the family's 1533-position model. Lineage: Bacteria; Bacillati; Bacillota; Bacilli; Lactobacillales; Enterococcaceae. The record is from RNAcentral.